CUUGGUCCUGUUUGGAGUUAGAAAGAGGAUCGGCCCCUAGAGAUGUCACUGCUUGCAGAACAGCGGCCCCUGGUGGACUGCAGGUGAAGUCCGAGAGCGCAACAGCACAAACGUUUGCCACACCAUCUUGUUUGAGAAAGGUACUUAGGACAACAGAUUUUACCACUCUGAGGGCAGAAGUGAGCAAAAAUUGUCCCAGUCCUUGGGAACCCUGGGAAUUCUUCUAGAGCUGUGCUCUUGCCUUCUCAAUGGCUGGUCAAGACCCCGAAUUCUCCAUUACGAUACACAAUAUGCAUUUUUUCACUCUGUCAGAGUUUCUGAAAUCAUGAUGAGCCUUACAACAGAUGCCAGUUCCUGUCCUUGCACUUUCUGUUGACCAGGCAGCAAUCAGGACAUAGUUGUCAUUGCCUGACACCUUCUGGUGAGAAGAAGAAGGCACCAGAUAAAACUUGAAGAAUGGAUGUUGCAAAGUGGAUGAAAAUCCUGAAGGCAGUGGAGGGCAGUCUUGAAGAAAUACACCUUCCUCCAGGGUUGAGAAACAACUUGAGAAGGAAGCAGAGAAAGAAAGAUUCUGAACCUCAAAAGGGAUGUGGAAUUACGUACCUCAAAAGGAUGUGGAAUUAUGAUUAGUUCUGCAUUUAGCAGUGUCUCUAGGUUCCCUAUGAUCUGAGCAGAUGUGGGCAUGUGCCACUAUCAACAUGGACACGAUCUACAUGCAAUGGACCUUCUUCAAUCUGGGAAUUCAACUUCUUUUGGUUUAAACUCUCCAUCCUUUAUGGGCCUGGGGUAAUGUGGCGUCUCUUUUACUGAACGACAAAGAUGACACUGGGAGACCCUGAAUGAAGCACAGGACCCUUUUUCUCACCGAUGAUCACUACUAAUAACAUGAUUGCAGAUUUUUCUGGUUUGCACAUCUAUUACUCUUCUUUCAUUUCUCUAAUUUCUGCAACAUCAAAAUUUAAUUAAGACAGACUUGUCCAGUUCAACCUGAUGUAAUUAAUGAAACAUUUUGUUGCACCAAUAUUUAUAACAGAAAUGCUAGUUAAAUUUGAAAAUAAAUCAUGACAUAUA
Molecule: non-coding RNA, 1071 nt
Organism: Ictidomys tridecemlineatus (thirteen-lined ground squirrel)
Lineage: Eukaryota; Metazoa; Chordata; Mammalia; Rodentia; Sciuridae
Source: RefSeq, a predicted model, not a curated record